Molecule: long non-coding RNA, 408 nt
Filed under: Vombatus ursinus (common wombat)
Lineage: Eukaryota; Metazoa; Chordata; Mammalia; Diprotodontia; Vombatidae
Description: lncRNA (ENSVURG00010006307.1)
Source: RNAcentral
CGAGGAAAUGGUGUCUGGAGGUCAGGUCUCUGGAGCAGCAGAAAACCAAAGAGAUGACUGGAAAGAAAUGUAACACCCCAAAGAAGAAGGGAGUAAUGGAGAGUUACCAGCUUGGAGUUCUGACUCAGUCUUUCUCCUCCAGCCAGCACAACCUUACCAGAAGAUGGUGUGACCACAGCAGUCUCCAGUGACGGGCAUUCUUAUGGUUCUGAUGAUGCAUCGACGUCGGAGGCUUGGAGACCAUAGCAUUGGUGGGAAUCAUUUUGGGAAUCGUGAUCGCCAUUGGUAUCAUUGCUGGAAUCGUCAUUGCAGUCGUGAGGAAAAUGUCGGGCAGGUACUCGUAAGUAAAAUACUUAUACACUGACAUGAUACAUGAAUGAUUAGUGUGGUUUUCAGAAGAGCCUUGAG